Long non-coding RNA from Cygnus olor (mute swan), 2131 nucleotides. RefSeq lists it as uncharacterized. The record is from RefSeq and is a predicted model, not a curated record. The transcript is spliced from 7 exons. Lineage: Eukaryota; Metazoa; Chordata; Aves; Anseriformes; Anatidae.
AGGAGGCUGUGGGGCGGGUGAGGAGCUCCGCGGGGUGGCGGCGCCUCAGAGCGCCUCGCCCUGGGCUGCGGUCCCUGGACAGAGCCGGUGGCCGCUCUGCGUGAGGCCGCUGCCAGAACGGGCGAGUGCCCCAAAGCAGCGCCUGAUGGCGUCCUAUGCUCCCUGUAGGCGCCCCUAUCACGCCGAGUUAGCAGCCCUGAGCCCUAGGUCCCUGCUGCUGCCUCCUACUGUCCUGGCUGGGGUGCUCAGGUAACCAGGCUGUUAGUUCUCCCUGAGCAACAGCGAGUUAAGCUACAGAGGGGUUUGCGUAUAGCGAGGUGCUCUGGGACCGAGGAUGUGCGCACCGCCCCCUGCUUUUAGGUAACAGGCAGUGGAGGCUCGGCACGCUGCCCCCUGGUUUUUAACUCGGUGGCAGCGGAGGCUGGAUGUGAUGCUCUGUGGUGGCCCAGGCACGGGGCUGUGCGCCCCCAGGCUCCCCUCCACAAGCACACGGAGCAGGCAGAGUUGGACCUGACCCCAGGGAGCUCCCCCUGCCCUAACGCCAACAUGCUGCCCGCUGUUCUCUGAACAAUUUGUAUUUAUUGAGCAGAGCCCGCUCAUCAUCACCCAACAACUCCCACCUCAGCACAGAUUCCAAAGAAAAGUCAAAGCAUCAGUUUAUUCUGAGAGUAAUGGCUCAAGGCUGCAGUCAGUUGGGGUAUAAUUACUGACUGCUUACUGUGGGCAGCUGCAGCACUGCAUUUUACAGGGGGCAGAGGAGACCUUGUGUUCUAUUUGUUGAAGAAUACUUGUGCAUUUUGUGAGGUGGUUGUUUCAAGUAAGAUCUUUGUCUUCCAAGAUCUUCACUGAAGUAUGGAACAGUUUCAGGAAGGAAGGCUGAGAGCUCUCCUCCUCCAACGUGCUUUCUGGCUAGAGGACAUGAGUGGGAUUCUAGAAAACAUUUUGAAGUUUUUCCUGGAAGAACAGCUUUAUCAAGUAGAAGCACAUCCAGUAGAAAAGAGAAGGCCCUUUGGACACAUGAUGACUGCAGCAGGGAUGAUUGUAAAGAGAAGCUAUACCUGCGGUUUUACCAACAGAUGCAGAAAGAAUAUGAUGGAGAGAGACCUGACUGUCAUUGUUGCCAUCAGCAAGGAGCAAAAGUAGUUUCUAUUACAAUCUUUCAGCUAAUUCUCUUACAGAAAGGAUAGUUACAUAGGUAUUCACAUUAAACCAGUGCAGCACCAACAGGAAGCUAAACUAAAGUCUUUACUUAACUAAGAAGAUACCACUGACACAACUGGCCGUAGUAGAAGUCCUGUUACUAGAGAGAUGAAGAUGAAAGGACUGACUUUAGCCUCAACUAAAAUUGCUGGUGGUGUUCUCACAUAACUAACGGCUUUGAAAAAGUUUUAAAUUCAUGUCUUUAAUUUGCUUGAAAAUGAUUUGUUGUAUUUUCAUUUCUUUUUAUUUCCAUUGUAACUUGAAGUUGUAACAGUGGAAAAAAAUAAGGAAAAUAUUGAAAUAACUGUAGUUAAAAAAGCCAUUUGGUUAUGAGGAAUCACCUUAAUAUGUAGUUACCUACAAGCCAGUCAAAUACCAGGUUUAAAAAAUAUUUAAUAGCCAUUCUACUGAAACAUCAAGUAUACUUGGAUUUAAUACAUGAAAAAUAAACAGCAGCUACUCUCCAAAAGUUUUUAAUAUCAAGGUUAAAUUAUUGACUACAGCUUGCACGUAAGGAAGCAAUGCCAGAAACAGUCACCUUGAAGCGCUAUAUGGAUGUUUCUAACUUCUAAAAGAGAAAAUUUACUUGCAUAGAGAAAAUUGUACAUUCAGUAACCAAAAAUAACUUCUGUAAUUGCACUAAAUACAUCACAGAUAUUACUUGCAACCAUAAUAACUUUUCUUGGUAGUUCUCAAGAUAACAAAUUUCUGCUUAUAGUGAAUAGUGAAGAACUGACUAAUGUGUGUGCUUAUCAGUAUAUCAGAGUGAUGACUUUUUUUGUCUUUGCAAAACAGGAUAAUGCUUUUUCCACUGUGUUUUCUGUAGCACUUCACCAUCUAGAAGGUUACACGGUGACUUCAGUGUUAUGUUUUUCUGAUGGUGCUUGCUUGAUUUGCUCUAUCAUAAUGUAUGCUGACAGAUGAGUUUUCA